GGGGUUGUGGUUGAAGUGGUACAAUGCUCACCUAGCACAUGUGAGGCCCUGGGUUCAAUCCUCAGCACCACA
This 72-nucleotide transfer RNA is filed under the name Marmota monax (woodchuck). RNAcentral's name for it is "tRNA.Ala". The record is from RNAcentral. Lineage: Eukaryota; Metazoa; Chordata; Mammalia; Rodentia; Sciuridae.